ACGUAGGGGGCGAGCGUUGUCCGAAUUCACUGGGCGUAAAGCGCGCGUAGGCGGGUUAUUAAGUUGGUGGUGAAAUCCCGAGGCUCAACCUCGGAACUGCCGUCAAAACUGAUAGCCUAGAGGUUUGGAGAGGGAACUGGAAUUCCAGGUGUAGCGGUGAAAUGCGUAGAUAUCUGGAGGAACACCCAUGGCGAAGGCAGGUUCCUGGCCAUAUCCUGACGCUGAGGUGCGAAAGCUAGGGUAGCGAACGG
Molecule: ribosomal RNA, 251 nt
Filed under: uncultured prokaryote
Description: partial 16S rRNA
Rfam family: Bacterial small subunit ribosomal RNA
Source: RNAcentral